Molecule: ribosomal RNA, 404 nt
Filed under: uncultured bacterium
Lineage: Bacteria
Description: bacterial SSU rRNA
Rfam family: Bacterial small subunit ribosomal RNA
Source: RNAcentral
UGGGGAAUCUUGCACAAUGGAGGAAACUCUGAUGCAGCGAUGCCGCGUGAGUGAAGAAGGCCUUUGGGUUGCAAAGCUCUUUCGUCGGGGAAGAAAAUGACUGUACUCGAAUAAGAAGGUACGGCUAACUUCGUGCCAGCAGCCGCGGUAAUACGAAGGGACCUAGCGUAGUUCGGAAUUACUGGGCUUAAAGAGUUCGUAGGUGGUUGAAAAAGUUGGUGGUGAAAUCCCAGAGCUUAACUCUGGAACUGCCAUCAAAACUUUUCAGCUAGAGUUUGAUAGAGGAAAGCAGAAUUUCUAGUGUAGAGGUGAAAUUCGUAGAUAUUAGAAAGAAUACCAAUUGCGAAGGCAGCUUUCUGGAUCAUUACUGACACUGAGGAACGAAAGCAUGGGUAGCGAAGAGG